AACGAACGCUGGCGGCAGGCUUAACACAUGCAAGUCGAGCGCGUAGCAAUACGAGCGGCAGACGGGUGAGUAACGCGUGGGAAUCUACCCAACCCUACGGAAUAACGCAUGGAAACGUGUGCUAAUACCGUAUACGCCCUUUGGGGGAAAGAUUUAUCGGGGAUGGAUGAGCCCGCGUUGGAUUAGCUAGUUGGUGGGGUAAAGGCCUACCAAGGCGACGAUCCAUAGCUGGUCUGAGAGGAUGAUCAGCCACAUUGGGACUGAGACACGGCCCAAACUCCUACGGGAGGCAGCAGUGGGGAAUAUUGGACAAUGGGCGCAAGCCUGAUCCAGCCAUGCCGCGUGAGUGAUGAAGGCCCUAGGGUUGUAAACUGCUUUUGUACGGAACGAAACGGUGAGCUCUAAUACAGUUUGCUAAUGACGGUACCGUAAGAAUAAGCACCGGCUAACUACGUGCCAGCAGCCGCGGUAAA
RNAcentral lists this ribosomal RNA (473 nucleotides) under uncultured bacterium. Its description in RNAcentral is "bacterial SSU rRNA". It matches the Rfam family "Bacterial small subunit ribosomal RNA", at positions 29 to 524 of the family's 1533-position model. The record is from RNAcentral.